Musca domestica (house fly) is the source of this 209-nucleotide long non-coding RNA. RefSeq lists it as uncharacterized. The transcript has 3 exons. The record is from RefSeq and is a predicted model, not a curated record. Lineage: Eukaryota; Metazoa; Arthropoda; Insecta; Diptera; Muscidae.
UCCAGUGGGGUUUGAAACAUAAUGAAGUUUUAUAUUUCAAAUUCAAGAAAAUUUAGUAAUGUAACGCACAUGGACAUGGAACGAGAGUCAAGUACAUAAGGACAUGUGCUGGGUGUAUGUUUGGCCUUCUUCUUUACUUUGACACCGAAUGACAACGCGAAUGUUUUGCUGAUGGCAUUGCUGGUUUUGUUGCUGCCCCACUUUGUUUU